CAAGCGAGCUGUCUAGCACGUGCAGACAAUGCACUAUCAUCAAUACAAACCAAACAUCCGAACGCUUGAAAGUUUUGCGCUUUUGGAUUAUGACGACUAAACGGGAUCAAGCCUCAAUGGACUUUCACGUGUUUUAGAUAAAACUCUUCGAGGAUAACUUCCUGACAUAGAAAGAAGAGUUGAACAUACAGUAAAAGUGAAAGGCAUACAGAUUUGGAACAACAUGAGGUUGGAGUUCAGCAGCAAAGAGCAUCAAGGAAGCAUUACCACAUCACUUACAGUUCAGCUGUCUGGCGUUGGCCUGACCUCCUGAACCUUGACUUUACCUGACCUCUCUUCAGACUCUCGGUUUAACCAGCUCAGUGUCUCUCAGUAUCAGAUCUAGAGGGAGAGAGAGAGGGGAGCGAUUGAGGAGACGCAUCAGGAUACCAGCCUGUCUGGAGCUGCACCCAAACAUCAAGGGAGUCUGGUUAACUGGCUCUCCAGUCUAGUUUAGUAUGCCCAUCUAACUUGUGAAUGGCCUGUGAAUUGAAGAUCCAUUUUUGUCAUCCCACCUGUAUGGAACGUGUGAGUGUGUGUUUGUGGGUGCGUGUAAACGCUGUCUAAUGACCCUCGCUCCACUGCACAGUCAGAGAUGGAACUGUGAUGCCAUUUGUUUUGAUGUCAUAAAUCGAUGGGAUUGAGUCUCCCAGGAGCUUCAGCUGUUCUCUCAGCUUGACGGCAAAUUACAUCACACUCUCAUCACUCACCCGCAGAUUUGUGUUUUUCAGCCACAGCUCUUUCAAAGUGAUCUAGUCUCAGAAUAGGACUGAAAAUCUCCCACUGUAUCAAUCUAUAUCAGGUCCAAUGCAUCUUCCACUGUAUCAGCGUCUGACAUGAUCUGUGAGACGCCACAAGCAAUUGGUGUAAGGAAUCUUUAGCUAGUGUUUGAAUGGGUUCUAUGGCCUUUUAAUAUUAAUGUUUUGUGCGUGUGUAUAAUUGUUAUAUGUGCUUUUGAAACCAUAUUUUCUGCAAGCUUUCUCUGCUAAAAAUACAGCUUACACCAGCUCGAAAUCUGUACUGGCCAAGGCAGAUUUUUGUGCUGGUGUAAUGAUCAAAUAGUACACCAGCAUCCCAUGAUGGUCAAGUAGUACACCAGCAUCCCAUGAUGGUCAACCAGUACACCAGCAUACCCUGAUGGUCUGCCAGUACACCGGUAUACUGUGAUGGUCAUCCAGUUCACUAGCAUCAUGUGAUUGUCAACCAGUACACUAGCAUCCUAUGAUGAUCAGCCAGUACAUCAGCAUCACAUGAUGAUCAACCAUUACAUCAGCAUCCUAUGAUGAUUAACCAGUAUACCAACAUCCCAUGAUGAUUAACUAGUACACCAACAUCCGGUAGUGGUCAAAAAGAUAAUCCACAUCCCAUGAUAGUCAACCAGUACAUCAGCAUCCCAUUAUGAUCAAUCAGUACAUCAGCAUCCCGUGAUAGUCAACCAGUACAUCAGCAUCCCAUUAUGAUCAACCAGUACAUCAGCAUCCCGUGAUAGUCAACCAGUACAUCAGCAUCCCAUUAUGAUCAACCAGUACAUCAGCAUCCCGUGAUAGUCAACCAGUACAUCAGCAUCCCGUUAUGAUCAACCAGUACAUCAGCAUCGCAUGAUGGUCAACCAGUACAUCUGCAUCCCAUGAUGAUCAACCAGUACAUCAGUAUCCCAUGAUGA
Carassius carassius (crucian carp) is the source of this 1702-nucleotide long non-coding RNA. RefSeq lists it as uncharacterized. The record is from RefSeq and is a predicted model, not a curated record. Lineage: Eukaryota; Metazoa; Chordata; Actinopteri; Cypriniformes; Cyprinidae. The transcript is spliced from 5 exons.